GACGAACGCUGGCGGCGUGCUUAACACAUGCAGGUCGAGCGGUAAGGCCCUUUCGGGGGUACGACGAGCGGCGAACGGGUGAGUAACACGUGGGUGACCUGCCCUCAGCUCUGGGAUAAGCCUGGGAAACUGGGUCUAAUACUGGAUAUGACUCCACGGUGCAUGUCGUGGGGUGGAAAGCCUUGUGCGGCUGAGGAUGGGCCCGCGGCCUAUCAGCUUGUUGGUGGGGUGANGGCCUACCAAGGCGACGACGGGUAGCCGGCCUGAGAGGGCGACCGGCCACACUGGGACUGAGACACGGCCCAGACUCCUACGGGAGGCAGCAGUGGGGAAUCUUGCGCAAUGGGCGAAAGCCUGACGCAGCGACGCCGCGUGAGGGAUGACGGCCU
RNAcentral lists this ribosomal RNA (389 nucleotides) under uncultured bacterium. Its description in RNAcentral is "bacterial SSU rRNA". It matches the Rfam family "Bacterial small subunit ribosomal RNA", at positions 28 to 417 of the family's 1533-position model. The record is from RNAcentral.